RNAcentral lists this ribosomal RNA (571 nucleotides) under bacterium amp-d-4. RNAcentral describes it as "bacterial SSU rRNA". It matches the Rfam family "Bacterial small subunit ribosomal RNA", at positions 50 to 617 of the family's 1533-position model. The record is from RNAcentral.
UACACAUGCAGUCGAGCGGAUGACGGGAGCUUGCUCCUUGAUUCAGCGGCGGACGGGUGAGUAAUGCCUAGGAAUCUGCCUGGUAGUGGGGGACAACGUUUCGAAAGGAACGCUAAUACCGCAUACGUCCUACGGGAGAAAGCAGGGGACCUUCGGGCCUUGCGCUAUCAGAUGAGCCUAGGUCGGAUUAGCUAGUUGGUGGGGUAAUGGCUCACCAAGGCGACGAUCCGUAACUGGUCUGAGAGGAUGAUCAGUCACACUGGAACUGAGACACGGUCCAGACUCCUACGGGAGGCAGCAGUGGGGAAUAUUGGACAAUGGGCGAAAGCCUGAUCCAGCCAUGCCGCGUGUGUGAAGAAGGUCUUCGGAUUGUAAAGCACUUUAAGUUGGGAGGAAGGGCAGUAAGUUAAUACCUUGCUGUUUUGACGUUACCGACAGAAUAAGCACCGGCUAACUCUGUGCCAGCAGCCGCGGUAAUACAGAGGGUGCAAGCGUUAAUCGGAAUUACUGGGCGUAAAGCGCGCGUAGGUGGUUCGUUAAGUUGGAUGUGAAAGCCCCGGGCUCAACCUGG